RNAcentral lists this ribosomal RNA (253 nucleotides) under uncultured bacterium. Its description in RNAcentral is "partial 16S ribosomal RNA". It matches the Rfam family "Bacterial small subunit ribosomal RNA", at positions 524 to 776 of the family's 1533-position model. The record is from RNAcentral.
UACGUAGGGGGCAAGCGUUGUCCGGAAUCAUUGGGCGUAAAGCGCGUGUAGGCGGCUCGGUAAGUCUGCUGUGAAAGUCCAGGGCUCAACCCUGGGAUGCCGGUGGAUACUGUCGAGCUCGAGUCCGGAAGAGGCGAGUGGAAUUCCUGGUGUAGCGGUGAAAUGCGCAGAUAUCAGGAAGAACACCCGUGGCGAAGGCGGCUCUCUGGAACGUUACUGACGCUGAGACGCGAAAGCGUGGGGAGCAAACAGG